This 301-nucleotide ribosomal RNA is filed under the name uncultured bacterium. Its description in RNAcentral is "partial 16S ribosomal RNA". It matches the Rfam family "Bacterial small subunit ribosomal RNA", at positions 509 to 807 of the family's 1533-position model. The record is from RNAcentral.
CAGUAGCCGCGGUAAUGCGAAGGGGGCUAGCGUUGUUCGGAUUUACUGGGCGUAAAGCGCACGUAGGCGGAUCGAUCAGUCAGGGGUGAAAUCCCAGAGCUCAACUCUGGAACUGCCUAUGAUACCGUCGAUCUGGAGUAUGGAAGAGGUGAGUGGAAUUCCGAGUGUAGAGGUGAAACUCGUAGAUAUUCGGAGGAACACCAGUGGCGAAGGCGGCUCACUGGUCCAUUACUGACGCUGAGGUGCGAAAGCGUGGGGAGCAAACAGGAUUAGAUACCCCCGUAGUCCCUGUCUCUUAUAC